This 780-nucleotide long non-coding RNA is filed under the name Sorghum bicolor (sorghum). RNAcentral's name for it is "long non-coding RNA (SBIC_LNC014117)". The record is from RNAcentral. Lineage: Eukaryota; Viridiplantae; Streptophyta; Magnoliopsida; Poales; Poaceae.
ACCACAACAAAUUUGUUUAAAUGCAUUAAUCCUCCAUUUUGCAUUGCCUUGCAUAUAAAAAUAAAAAAAAUAAAAAUUAAUAAAAUAUUUGCCUCUUGUCUUCAUCACUCAAUAUCUUGUCUCUAGUAUAAUGAAUCUUGUUCAUCCUAUCAUGCUCCCUCUUUCCAUGUUAGUAUGCUUUGGUUUGGUUAUACUAAUCUCUCGAGUGAGUACCUCCAUAGUCUUUUUAAAUUAAGCAUGGUGCUUAGGUUAAAUAGACUACCUUAGUCAAACAAGACAUGGUGUUAAGUUUGAUUAUUGAACCAAACAUACUUGCAUGGAACUUGGUUGCACUUUUGGACUACCCCCUGCAGCAAGAACAUCGAUAUCUCUAUGGGUAAGUCAUAAGAUCAUUCAUGGAGACAAACUGAGAUCCUCAUGGUAGAAUACAAGUUUCUUGGCCAAAGAGAACUUCGAUGCAACUAAGAAGGGCCAAUGCUAUGACUCAUCAUCUUCGAGGUAAGUGGCCACCUUCUUAAGAGUUUUCUAGGAGUUUGAUCCUUGAUAGAAGAAGUUGACAUGCUAGAACUCAUCCUUGCUAAAGAUUCAACAAGACUAAAAUCUACAUGUCUUAACUUCUUUUAUAUAUUUUGUGUGGAUUGACCUUUAGGAUAGCAUGAAUACACUUUUUGUCGGUGUUUUCCCCCUGGGGGGUCACACCAACGAGUAAAACUUGUGUGCGUGCUCCCCUUUCCAGAUGGUGAUGCAAGAAAGGACACAAAGAUUUAUCCUAGUUCGGGC